AUCAGGUAGGGACACCCGCUGAACUUAAGCAUAUCAAUAAGCGGAGGAAAAGAAAAUAACAAUGAUUCCCCUAGUAACUGCGAGUGAAGAGGGACAAGCUCAAAUUUUAAAUCUGUUAGGUAUCACCUGGCCGAGUUGUAAUUUGAAGAAGCGUUUUCUGCGUCCUUGGUCAGCCCAAGUCCUAUUGAAUGAGGCAUCAUGGAGGGUGAUAAUCCCGUCCGGUUGAUCAAUGCGUUUUACGAUACGCUCUCAAAGAGUCAAGUUGUUUGGGAUUGCAGCUUAAAAUGGGAGGUAAAUUUCUCCUAAGGCUAAAUAUUGGCGAGAGACCGAUAGCGAACAAGUACCGUGAGGGAAAGAUGAAAAGAACUUUGAAAAGAGAGUAAAAUAGUGCGUGAAAUUGUUGAAAGGGAAACGAUUGAAGUCAGUCGUACCGACGGACAAUCAGCCUUUUGAGUGCGAAUCUGUGGCUCAUGAGGAGGAAACCCUCAUGUUUUGCAUAUUUGUGCUCUUUGGGUGUAUUUGUUCGUAUGGUGGGUUAACAUCAAUUUUGGUCGUCAUAAAAUGACGGGAGGAAAGUAGCUUUGGUCUCGUAUUGAAGUGUUAUAGCCUCUGGUAGAUGUGACGACCGGGAUUGAGGAUUGCAACGGAUACCCUUUUGGGCUACUCGCCUGAUCUCUGAUCGUUACUCUGGUGCCGAAAGCUUGCUUAUGUCAUCAAAGUUGAUGGUCAAAAGGUUAGAACGGGUUAAAUUCGUUAAGGAUGUUGACGUAAUGGCUUUAAACGACCCGUCUUGAAACACGGACCAAGGAGUCUAACAUAUAUGCGAGUGUU
Molecule: ribosomal RNA, 831 nt
Filed under: uncultured Glomeraceae
Lineage: Eukaryota; Fungi; Glomeromycota; Glomeromycetes; Glomerales; Glomeraceae
Description: eukaryotic LSU rRNA
Rfam family: Eukaryotic large subunit ribosomal RNA
Source: RNAcentral